Molecule: ribosomal RNA, 468 nt
Filed under: uncultured bacterium
Lineage: Bacteria
Description: partial 16S ribosomal RNA
Rfam family: Bacterial small subunit ribosomal RNA
Source: RNAcentral
GACGAACGCUGGCGGCGUGCUUAACACAUGCAAGUCGAACGGAAAGGCCCUGCUUUUGUGGGGUUCUCUAGUUUCGAUCGUGUGAGUAUCACUUGAGUAACCUGCCCUUUUCUUUGUUAUAACUUCAGGUAACUGGUUCUAAUACCGGAUAGGAUCUCCUCCUGCAUGGUUGGGGUUGGAUAGUUUCGGCGGUUGGGGAUGUACUCGCGGCUUAUCAGCUUGUUGGUGGGGUAGUGGCUUACCAAGGCUUUGACGGGUAGCCGGCCUGAGAGGGUGACCGGAGACAAGGGGACUGAGAGAGGGAGCAGAGGGGAACGGGAGGCAGCAGGGGGGAAGAGUGCAAAAUGGGCGGAAGCAUGAGGCAGCAAAGCAGGGUGCGGGAAGAAGGCCUGCGGGGUGUAAAACGAUUGAGACUGAGAAGAAGCGUGAGUGACGGUAAUGGGUAAAGAAGCAACGGAUAAGUAAGUG